CAUAGCUGAGUCUAUCCUUGCUCAGGGACGAGCAAGAGGUAAGCUUGGGGGAGUUUGUUGACGGUCCUUAAGUAUCAAAUUUACUUAUCAAAUAAACAAAGAAAAAGGAUCCAAAUGAAAUCAACAUCUAGACUUAGGGUUUUAUCUGACAGAAUUCCACGAGUUUUGGUGUUUGUCUAUUUCUGCAGGGGGUUAUCAGGAAAUAAGGAAGAAAGGCCCACGUGUCGGGAUUACAUAGAGAUAUCAACCCACCGCGCAAUUUUCUACCAUCUAGAAGACUCCAGAAGCCACGGGAAGGAAGCGGAGCCCGAAAGGGGCCAGGCCCAGGGCGCCCGCCCUGAGGACCUGGGCGCCCGCCCCCCUCUGGACUCCGUUCCGGACUCUCUUCGCACACGACGUUCCACCGACCUAUUGGAUCCAGAAUAACAUAGUACCACCUCGCCUAUCGACCCAAAAACGCAUAGAAGGGGAGCACUAUAUAAGGAGACCCCCUCUGGCCCCUGGAGGAGACAAGAAAUUAUCAUAGAGAUUGAGGGGUGCCCUCGAAGGAAAACCUCUUCUCUAAAUAAUAUUUCUUUUUAGGCUUAGCAACCAAUGUAAAGUAGAAAUAGAUCUUCUAGUUUCUACUAGAUUGAGAGAGAUAGAGUGGAGGUGUGGAUCGGAGGAAGGCCGGCCUGUCGGUGUCUACUCCGAGUUGUACCUACGGGAUCAAGUCUCCUAACCCGAGGCUUGCUUCUAAGAUUCUUCAGUAAUUCGACUUCUAAUACUAGUAAGUUCUUGUUUUAUUGUUCUUUGGUUUAUGAGUUUACUUUAAUCCUCUUCCGGUUGAGUAUUAGAGUAAUCACUUGUUAGCAUAAACGUGGUGUUUAGGCUAGGGUACUCAUAGAUAUCCCCUGACUAGCUGGACCGUGGUAGUAGCGAGGAACGUGACAUUUCCGAGUUACCUUUGUAGAUCACAUCUCGUUAGCAGGGCAUUUCCGAGCAAGAAGAUCGGAUGAAUGGCAAGCACAAGGUAUGUCCAACCAAUCAUCAUGCAACAUUGAAUUAAAUUCAUCCAAUCUUGAAUUUUGCAAAAUUCAAGCUUGGGGGAGUACUUUACAUAAAAACAUCAUUUGCCAUGUUGCUAUGUUGGUUGUCCUUACCUUUGAGACAUGGUCAAUUUGUUAAAUACUAAUUACACUACUUCACCUCCACUUGAGUAGAUCGCUAUAAAUGCUCUCAUGCUACCUUUAUUUGCUUUAGUAUAUGUCUAGGUUUGGAGUAGUUUCAUUUAUCUCUUAAAUCAAGCAUGGUGCUUAGUUUAGGAAUGAUGAUCUUACUUCCAAAGGAUUUUUAAAUUAAGCCUGGUGCUUAGGUUAAAAUGCCCUCCUAAAUCAAAUUAGACAUGGUGUCUAGGUUGAUUUUUGAGCCGAUAGUAUGGUAUAGUAGAUAUGGGAUAUUUUGUUGGACUAACCCCUACAGGAAAACUUUCAAUAUCAACCUGGGAAGUCCUGAGAUAAACUCACAUUGGAGAUAGUGACACAUGAAGUUUAAACAAUUUGCACAAGAAAGACGUAGCUCGUAAGAGAUGAUUCAUGGAGGGUGCCACAAACACGAUGCACAACCGCUAAGAAAGGAAAGCUUCCACAAGGUGAUACUGUACCGUCACUCUUCAAGUAAGGUAACAUUUUAAGGUACUUGACUAUCACUUUUAUAAGCUUCUCCUUGGUUCUAGCGUUCACAUAAAAUAAAGAGACAAACAUGUAUGAUUUGUAGCUCCAAAUUAAUCAACCCAAUUAAUUCAACAUGUUUAGUCCUUUAAUCUUUGUUCUUAGUACUACCUUCGUGAUCCCACACUCCUAAUCAUAUAAGCUAAAGUAUUGCACAUUCAAUCUUUGGAAGAUAUAAACAAAACAUAAAUAUAGAUAGAUUAUCUUUCCAUUUGGUUGAGCCAUCUGAUCUAACAAAUGUUUUAAAUGCUACACUCAUGAUCCAUCAACUUUGUCUUGCUCACUAUGCUUAAGGUUAGAGAAGAACAAAUACACUUUUGGUUCUGUUGGUGUUUUCCACCAACAGGGCCCAUGCACUUGAUCUCUGCCUUGUCUCUAUGAGCAGGACACAUUUUGAGAAACGUGAAGGCGUUCUACAACUCCCAGAUUCCAUCAAGUGAAGAACCGGGAUCUACAAGCACAAACACAAUGGAGAUCAGACACUUAGUUUCCCAAAGGAAAUAUUGAAGAACCUCUGUGUCCGAGUUGGUAUCUUGUACACUGCAGCAAACUUCAUGGUGAUAGAGACUGGUUGUGAGGAGAGGGCACCCAUCAUCUUAGGGAGGCCAUUCCUAAACACCAGAGGUGUCAUCUACGCUAAUGCUGCCAAGAUCAGUCUCUACAUCAGAGGGAAGAAGGAGACUUUCCUUCAAGAACAAGACUACACAAACUUCAGAGCAAUCCCGACAUGAACCAAGGAAGAGGACCAACAGGAGGAACAGGAACAAGCAAAUAUGGACUAAGUCAGCUAAGAUGGUCACUGCAGCUCAAGGAGGUCAAGAUCGUCGACUCAAGUCACCUUUCUUGAUCAAGAAGGACGACCCUGGUGUUCCAAGAAUCGAAUGCACAAACAAUGGAUACUCUUUUUAGAAGACACUCUACGACACCGGAUCUGACGACAACAUAAUGGCCGCAGUCACUUAUCAGCUCCUGCAUGGAACCAUGCCCCUACAACCAAGAUACAUUCAGCUUCAAACAAUUUUCAGGUCAUUGACAUAGGAGAAGAUGAGUAUGAUCCAUCCACCAUCCUUGGAAGACCGUUCCUCAGCACUAUCAAAGCCAUUAUCUAUAUUGGAACCGGAGAAAUCCACAUGCACUUCCCCUCUGCGAAAGGUACGCCACUACUUUAAUGAUUAUAUAGUUGAAGAUUCUAAGCAGGUCAGGACAAGAAGAAGACAAACCGCAACCAGAGGAGGCAAAUCGGACGGAUGGGUAGACUACGAAGGAGAAGUGAUAAGGACUGAAGACAUACAACUUGAACAGAACUAUCCUGAGGAGACCAUAGCACCGAGUCAGGUGUGGAAAGAGAAGAUAGUUAUACACGAAGAGAAGUCGCCGCCGGAACCACCGACUAUGCCACCCAGCAAAUCCCAGGACGACUAAGAAAACAGAGAGUCCCGUUCGGAGGACUUAAAAAUACCGAACGCCUUGCCAAGAGGUAAACUUGGUAGUUAUCCUUUUCCUUUUAAUUAUUUCAAAUAGUUUACUUAGUUAAUCAUGUUCGUAUUAUCCUAGAAAGAAAAUAAAAAUGUGAAAAAAAAACUGUAAGCCCCAUGUGAGUAGACGAGUGGCAUAAAACCCAUAAGUACAUUCACUGUGGUGGCAUAAAAAUAAAAUAAAUAUUUUUCUGCUUUAUAAAAACAAAAAUAUAAAAACAGGGAGUAAUAUUUAUUAAGGAGUCUCAACAUGAUAAAGGCUAGAUAUUUAUGCUAACGCUUAAUCAGUUCCACAAGCUUUGUUGUCUAUUUGAGCUCCACAGAAUUUAAGAAUCAAGAAGACUAGCAGACGGAGGACAUUCUAAUCGCUGUCAAAAUACUGCUGACUUUCAAACACACCUCUGCCAACUGCUAGCUACAUCAAGAGAAAUUACGUCAAAAUUCAGCUUGGGGGAGAGCACCCCCAUUUAUCUCGAUAAGUAUUUCUAUCUAUCUUUAUACUUAUACUAUAUUAGAAUAUAAAUACACAUAACUAUAAAAAACCAAAUAAAGAUUUUAUGCUUAUAUAUAUUUUGCUUAGUGUGUUUAAUAAAUAAAUAAAGUGGCUAUGCUAAUCUGUAUCUAAUAAAACUUAAGCAUGGAUAUGAUGAAUAGUUGCUCUGCGUAAUUUGCAAAUUUGAAGUUCUCUCUCAAGUUUAGAUAUAACUGUUAUAAUUUAAGGCUUGCUCUAGACCUAAACUUGUGGGAUGAAAACUUGAUCUGAAGUCUAAGUUGUUAACGGAUACGAUAUGGGAAGGUUGAGCUGCUGUUUAUCUGUUCCUAGAGAUGCUAGAAUUCUGGAGAAUUUUAUCUUUAAAAAUCUUUAAAAUGUUGCAUGAUGAGUUCCUGUAUGAUGAGAGUUUAAAUUCCUACCACAGCCAUAUAUACAUGCUUGCUAGACCUUGAGCACACAUUUACUAUUUACUGCUUAUGAGAAUUGAGUGUGGUCAAGCUGUGUAGACCCUUAGGAGCUUGUCAUGUGGUUAAAUCAAGAUUCACUUGCACGAUUACUCAUACAUGCUACUUCUACUCCGGAAGUACCAUCCACAUAUAUCCACUCAUUUCUAUCUCCAGUUUUACCCAAAAUUAUUCUACUCCUAAUCCGGGAGAGAAUAGCCAAAAACAUUUUCCUAUCCCUGUUAUUCCCUGUGAAAUAAAUGCUCCAGUUAUUUUGGUUACUACCACUUGCUACAUUAUUUCAGGAGAUGAGUGCUCUAGUAAAAAAAAGAGAAAAAAAAGAGAAGAAAAAAAAAGAGAAAAAAAAAUAAUAAUAUACGAGGAAAUAAAAAGGAGCAAGUGCUCGGAACCUCGAAAGAAAAGAAAAAGAAGAGCAUCUCAUUCUCCUCAUAAAGUUUCAAAAGCAAGGAAGGUAUGUAUCCCCUCAAAGAGCAAAGUAGAAUUAGACUUCCACCACCAUUGUUAUCACCAUCAUCACCAUACACCAUUCAUUCGCCACACAUGCACAUCUUGAUUUGGCUUAUUGAUUUGUUUCUUUGGAUCCAUGGUUUGACUAUGCAAUAAAUGUCUUGUAAGUAUGUAUACUUUAUCUCCCACCUAUGAGCUCCAGAUAUUAAAGCCUUAUUAGAGUAGGGUGAGAGAGAAGACAAUGUCACUAUGCUUCAUACCACAAAUACUACAUAUUUUGAGAGAAGGCAUAUACCAUCACUGCCUUGGUAAGGAUCCAAAAAUACCACAAAAGAGAGACUUGAGAGAAUCAUACAAGGAAUUUCUGAGUUUUAUUUGAAAAUCUGCAAAAACCCCAGAGCUAUAGCUGAUCAAGAAUAAGAGACAUGGCACUUGGCUAGACUGUUCUAUCUUUUAACCACUCAAGACAGAAGUGACAGUUACAAGUCCCAUGGUAAAGGUAAAGUAAGUAAGUUUUAAGUCUUGAUAGUUUACUCUAACUCAGAGAUGAGAUCUUAUUUAAAAAGCAUGUGUACAUCAAUUUUUAAAAAUAUUGCAACAUUUAUGAUCCAUAGCUGAGUCUAUCCUUGCUCAGGGACGAGCAAGAGGUAAGCUUGGGGGAGUUUGUUGACGGUCCUUAAGUAUCAAAUUUACUUAUCAAAUAAACAAAGAAAAGGAUCCAAAUGAAAUCAACAUCUAGACUUAGGGUUUUAUCUGACAGAAUUCCACGAGUUUUGGUGUUUGUCUAUUUCUGCAAGGGGUUAUCAGGAAAUAAGGAAGAAAGGCCCACAUGUCAGGAUUACAUAGAGAUAUCAACCCACCACGCAAUUUUCUACCAUCUAGAAGACUCCAGAAGCCACAGGAAGGAAGCGGAGCCCGAAAGGGGCCAGGCCUAGGGCGCCCGCCCUGAGGACCUGGGCGCCCGCCCCCCUCUGGACUCCGUUCUGGACUCUCUUCGCACACGACGUUCCACCGACCUAUUGGAUCCAGAAUAACAUAGUACCACCUCGCCUAUCGACCCAAAAACGCAUAGAAGGGGAGGACUAUAUAAGGAGACCCCCUCUGGCCCCUGGAGGAGACAAGAAAUUAUCUUAGAGAUUGAGGGGUGCCCUCGAAGGAAAACCUCUUCUCUAAAUAAUAUUUCUUUUUAGGCUUAGCAACCAAUGUAAAGUAGAAAUAGAUCUUCAAGUUUCUACUAGAUUGAGAGAAAUAGAGUGGA
Molecule: long non-coding RNA, 5846 nt
Filed under: Sorghum bicolor (sorghum)
Lineage: Eukaryota; Viridiplantae; Streptophyta; Magnoliopsida; Poales; Poaceae
Description: long non-coding RNA (SBIC_LNC008859)
Source: RNAcentral